Molecule: ribosomal RNA, 253 nt
Filed under: uncultured bacterium
Lineage: Bacteria
Description: partial 16S ribosomal RNA
Rfam family: Bacterial small subunit ribosomal RNA
Source: RNAcentral
UACGGGGGGGGCAAGCGUUGUUCGGAAUUACUGGGCGUAAAGGGCUCGUAGGUGGCCAACUAAGUCGGACGUGAAAUCCCUCAGCUUAACUGGGUAACUGCGUCCGAUACUGGAUGGCUUGAGUUUGGGAGAGGGAUGCGGAAUUCCAGGUGUAGCGUUGAAAUGCGUAGAUAUCGGGAGGAACACCAGUGGCGAAGGCGACUUCCUGGCCUGUUCUUGACGCUGAGGCGCGAAAGCUAGGGGAGCAAACGGG